UCGCUGCCCCACGACUCCGGUGUACCUCCCUCUCCUCCUCUGGAGGAGAGGGUUGGGGAGAGGAGGCCGCACGCGCUGAUGCCGACUCAAUCCAUGGGGUCCUCCAGGAUACGAGCCCC
This 119-nucleotide ribosomal RNA is filed under the name uncultured bacterium. RNAcentral's name for it is "partial 16S ribosomal RNA". The record is from RNAcentral.